GGAUCCGCACAAGCAGCGGAGCGUGUGGUUUAAUUCGAGGCUACGCGAAGAACCUUACCAGGGUUUGACAUGCAAGUAGUAGUGAAGCGAAAGCGGAACGAUCCUUCGGGAAGCUUGCACAGGUGAUGCAUGGCUGUCGUCAGCUCGUGCCGUGAGGUGUUCGGUUAAGUCCGCUAACGAGCGCAACCCUUACCGUCAGUUACAAGUGUCUGGCGGGACUGCCGGUCUUAAGCCGGAGGAAGGUGGGGAUGACGUCAAGUCAGCAUGUCCUUUAUAUCCUGGGCUACACACACGCUACAAUGGCCGGUACAAUAGGGCGCCAAGCCGCAAGGCGGAGCCAAUCCUAAAAACCGGUCUCAGUUCGGAUUGUAGGCUGCAACCCGCCUACAUGAAGUUGGAGUUGCUAGUAACCGCAGGACAGCUAUACUGCGGUGAAUACGUUCCCGGAUCUU
RNAcentral lists this ribosomal RNA (452 nucleotides) under uncultured bacterium. RNAcentral's name for it is "bacterial SSU rRNA". It matches the Rfam family "Bacterial small subunit ribosomal RNA", at positions 917 to 1382 of the family's 1533-position model. The record is from RNAcentral.